CAACCAAGAUUCCAACUUACCAAUUCAUAUGCCCCUGGUACCUUUGACACAUUCAAAAAAGGUCCGUUCAUUGUAGAGUAAGUAAGUACUGAAGCAAAUGCCAAAAUGUUAAUACAAGGGGUCGAGUAACACCAUAUAAAUAAAACCAUGUGAUAGGAAAAAGUUUUUCGAGAAGUUGGAAAAAAGAAUCACUUGACUUGGACAUCAAAUGCGAAAUCUAAACAUGUUUAACAUUUUUACAAAGAAUCAAAAUAAAAAAGAAGAACACCAUGAACUGAACUAGAAGAGCAUAUGAACCCAACGCCGACAAGUGGGUCCCGCAUGUCAGUUGCACACCAGCCCAAAACUAUGUAUAAGAAUGUUGAAAAGCAAGAAGUGAAACAAAAUAACUAGUAACUCAAUGGUGUCUGCGACGGUGAUAUAAAUUAUUGUUCCAGGUUCGACCCCUUCCCUCCACCCUUUUUCCACUUAAUUUUUCUAGUUUUUUUUUACCGAAAAUUGGCUUGGCGCCGGCAUGCAACCAUUUACCACCUAAUAACCCGCCCAUUAUGCGAACAAAUCGAAUCUUAACCUCCCUACUUCCUCAUUAUCCUCCCCAUCUCCAAUUCUUUCCUUUCCCUCCUCCAACUCGGUUCCCACCGGUGGUUCCCGAUCUACACCCGC
RNAcentral lists this long non-coding RNA (663 nucleotides) under Setaria viridis. Its description in RNAcentral is "long non-coding RNA (SVIR_LNC005715)". Lineage: Eukaryota; Viridiplantae; Streptophyta; Magnoliopsida; Poales; Poaceae. The record is from RNAcentral.